GUUGAGGUCUAUUCUGAUGAAGCUUUUCUUGUAGCUGUACAUCUUUGGAAACAGCUCAUAGAGAAACUAUGAUUUUGCUUUAGUCACAGGACUGUUUGCUAGAUCUGUGGGAAGGAACUGUAAGACAGAG
This is a small nucleolar RNA of Prolemur simus (greater bamboo lemur), 130 nucleotides long. NCBI's taxonomy places the organism in Eukaryota, Metazoa, Chordata, Mammalia, Primates, Lemuridae. The record is from Ensembl.